UUAUUUGAGAGUUUGAUCCUGGCUCAGGAUGAACGCUGGCGGCGUGCCUAACACAUGCAAGUUGAGCGAUUUACUUCGGUAAAGAGCGGCGGACGGGUGAGUAACGCGUGGGUAACCUACCCUGUACACACGGAUAACAUACCGAAAGGUAUGCUAAUACGGGAUAAUAUAUUUGAGAGGCAUCUCUUAAAUAUCAAAGGUGAGCCAGUACAGGAUGGACCCGCGUCUGAUUAGCUAGUUGGUAAGGUAACGGCUUACCAAGGCGACGAUCAGU
Molecule: ribosomal RNA, 274 nt
Filed under: Clostridioides difficile
Lineage: Bacteria; Bacillati; Bacillota; Clostridia; Peptostreptococcales; Peptostreptococcaceae
Description: partial 16S ribosomal RNA
Rfam family: Bacterial small subunit ribosomal RNA
Source: RNAcentral